UGGGGAAUAUUGCACAAUGGAGGGAACUCUGAUGCAGCGACGCCGCGUGAACGAAGAAGGCUUUCGAGUCGUAAAGUUCUUUUAUAUGGGAAGAUAAUGACGGUACCAUAAGAAAAAGCCCCGGCUAACUACGUGCCAGCAGCCGCGGUAAUACGUAGGGGGCUAGCGUUGUCCGGAAUCACUGGGCGUAAAGGGUUCGCAGGCGGAAAUGCAAGUCAGGUGUAAAAGGCAGUAGCUUAACUACUGUAAGCAUUUGAAACUGCAUAUCUUGAGAAGAGUAGAGGUAAGUGGAAUUUUUAGUGUAGCGGUGAAAUGCGUAGAUAUCAGGAGGAACACCGGUGGCGAAGGCGACUUACUGGGCUCAUUCUGACGCUGAGGAACGAAAGCGUGGGUAGCAAACAGG
This 403-nucleotide ribosomal RNA is filed under the name Verrucomicrobiota bacterium. RNAcentral describes it as "Verrucomicrobia bacterium partial 16S ribosomal RNA". It matches the Rfam family "Bacterial small subunit ribosomal RNA", at positions 355 to 776 of the family's 1533-position model. The record is from RNAcentral. Lineage: Bacteria; Pseudomonadati; Verrucomicrobiota.